AUAUUACUAAGCGGAGGAAAAGAAACUAACAAGGAUUGCCCUAGUAACUGCGAGUGAACCGGCACAAGCCCAGUCUCGAAAUCGCUUCGGCGAAUUGUAGAGUGUAGACAUAAGUCUUAAGCAGAGUGUAGGCGUAACUUGGCUGGAAUGCCAGACCAGAGAAGGUGAUAGUCCUGUGCCGCCUGUGCGAAGCGAAAGACUGUGUUCCACGAGUCGGACAGUUUGGGAUUGCUGUCCUAAGUGGGAGGUAGACUUCUUCUAAGGCUAAAUACUGACGAGAGACCGAUAGCGCACAAGUA
RNAcentral lists this ribosomal RNA (299 nucleotides) under uncultured eukaryote. RNAcentral's name for it is "partial large subunit ribosomal RNA". It matches the Rfam family "Eukaryotic large subunit ribosomal RNA", at positions 40 to 350 of the family's 3401-position model. The record is from RNAcentral.